This is a long non-coding RNA of Cherax quadricarinatus, 1615 nucleotides long. RefSeq lists it as uncharacterized. NCBI's taxonomy places the organism in Eukaryota, Metazoa, Arthropoda, Malacostraca, Decapoda, Parastacidae. The record is from RefSeq and is a predicted model, not a curated record.
ACUUCCUACAAUAAAUAUAUUCACCACUCACUCAAAGCUCAGGAUGAAAAUAUUUUAUGAUAAGUAAUGUGUGUACUGUAUAUACAUUUUUUAGGUCUAGCUCUAUUGCUUAUUUAAUAUAUAAUAGUGUAAACAUGUUAUUAGGCUUUUAUAUGCAUUUGAAAGUGAAAAAAGUCUGUGUUUCACUUUACAGUGAUUUUUGUUUUACAGCGGUAACCCAAAACCUAACCUGCUGUAUAAGUGGGGCCCUACAGUAACCUGGAACCUAACCUGCUGUAUAAGUGGGGCCCUACAGUAACCUGGAACCUAACCUGCUGUAUAAGUGGGGCCCUACAGUAACCCAAAACCUAACCUGCUGUAUAAGUGGGGCCCUACAGUAACCCAAAACCUAACCUGCUGUAUAAGUGGGGCCCUCCUGUAAAAGUUAGCACCUCUGAUUCAGAAUAUAUGUUAUCCUGAGUCAUCACUAUCAAUCACGGCAUUUUACACCUCAACUCUACCAUUAAAAGGUCACCCUGACUCGGUGGGAGAUGGUUGGUGUGUUGAAAUGAAAUAAUAAUAAACAAAAUUUUGUGUGUGUAAGGAAUACACUGAUCUAGCAGCCUCUCUGAUGCAAGGGACUCUCAUUACUAUGGUACUAGGUCACAAGUGUUACUCACUCAUUCACUGGAUUUGUGAAUGCCCUCUACUGAUGCCUAAAUCACAUUUUUACUAGCCGACCCAACACCACAUAAGAUUUCCUCUUGGCCGUGAGCUAAGACUCCACAACAUUGUGACCUUCUUAUCCUGAAUCUUGUUUGGUGUUGUGUUUGCCCUUAAAAAGUGACAUGAAGGAAUGUCACCAGAUUGAAACCUCGACACUUUUUACAAACACACAAAACUAAUACAAUAUUUAUUUAUUUAUUUCAACAACUUGAACCUUGCAAAAGCACAUAACUAGAAAGACAAAUAGAAAUUCCUCACCCAAAGAGUACAUAAUAGGUCUAUGGAGAAGUCUGCUCACUGCAUUUCAAACUUCACCUGUAAAAACUUAUCAGGCAAAAUGAAGGAACUUUACACAGGGUGGAGCACUUGCUUUCUCUCUGCUUUGAGGUCACCAGACAGUGACUGACAAUUAUAUUAUUGAUGGUAUACAAUACCAACAAUUUGUUGAAUAAGACUCGUGUGCAACACUUUGGUAUCUUUAGUGCUGGCAAUAGAGAUACCCCACUGUUGCACGUGUUUUAUUUAUCAAUCGUUACAAGUAUAUUAAAUUGUAUUUACAAUGUAUCAUCCUGUAUGAAUAUCAUUUGGAACAAUAUUAAAAAAUAUAACUGGAACUGCUUAUAAAUGCAAAAAUAAAAGUACGUAUAGAAAUGUACACAUUGUAAUAAUAUUCUUGCAGAAAAACCUGAAGGAAUAUAUAGACAUAUCCUUCAAAUUAAGCUCUGGUUAUAAAUAUAAAUACAUUUUUUUAAGAGAAACUUUGGUGUUAUAAGAUCCAUAAUAUAACAAAUAUUAAUAAAGUUUACAUAAUAAACUUAAAAGUUGUGAUUUAACUGCUGUUUAAGUAAAUAUAUAUAUCAGUGAAAAUUUCCUAAUUUUAAGAUAUAUCAAGGUAUGCCAGGUUAUUACU